CUAGCGGCAGGCCUAACACAUGCAAGUCGAGGGGUAGAGGAAGCUUGCUUCCUUGAGACCGGCGCACGGGUGCGUAACGCGUAUGCAACCUACCUUUACAGGGGAAUAGCCCAGAGAAAUUUGGAUUAAUGCCCCAUGGUAUAAUCGGAUGGCAUCAUUUGAUUAUUAAAGUUCCAACGGUAAAAGAUGGGCAUGCGUCCUAUUAGCUAGAUGGUAAGGUAACGGCUUACCAUGGCUACGAUAGGUAGGGGUCCUGAGAGGGAGAUCCCCCCACACUGGUACUGAGACACGGACCAGACUCCUACGGGAGGCAGCAGUGAGGAAUAUUGGACAAUGGGCGCAAGCCUGAUCCAGCCAUGCCGCGUGCAGGAAGACGCAUCUAUGGUGUGUAAACUGCUUUUGUACGGGAAGAAACACUCCUACGUGUAGGAGCUUGACGGUACCGUAAGAAUAAGGAUCGGCUAACUCCGUG
This 472-nucleotide ribosomal RNA is filed under the name uncultured bacterium. RNAcentral describes it as "bacterial SSU rRNA". It matches the Rfam family "Bacterial small subunit ribosomal RNA", at positions 36 to 507 of the family's 1533-position model. The record is from RNAcentral.